UGGGCUGUGGCUCAGUGGUAGAGCACUCGCCUGGCAUGUGUGAGGCACUGGGUUUGCUCCUCAGCACCACAU
This 72-nucleotide transfer RNA is filed under the name Urocitellus parryii (Arctic ground squirrel). RNAcentral describes it as "Spermophilus parryii (Arctic ground squirrel) tRNA". It matches the Rfam family "tRNA". From Rfam's summary of the family: Transfer RNA (tRNA) molecules are approximately 80 nucleotides in length. Their secondary structure includes four short double-helical elements and three loops (D, anti-codon, and T loops). Further hydrogen bonds mediate the characteristic L-shaped molecular structure. tRNAs have two regions of fundamental functional importance: the anti-codon, which is responsible for specific mRNA codon recognition, and the 3' end, to which the tRNAs corresponding amino acid is attached (by aminoacyl-tRNA synthetases). tRNAs cope with the degeneracy of the genetic code in two manners: having more than one tRNA (with a specific anti-codon) for a particular amino acid; and 'wobble' base-pairing, i.e. permitting non-standard base-pairing at the 3rd anti-codon position. Lineage: Eukaryota; Metazoa; Chordata; Mammalia; Rodentia; Sciuridae. RNAcentral also lists the same sequence under 1 other name. The record is from Rfam by way of RNAcentral.